GUCACGGCCCCGCGGGGCAGCCAUGCCUGGCCGUCUGCUGCGGGGCCUGUGGCAGCGAUGGCGCCGUUACAAGUACCGCUUCGUUCCCUGGAUCGCACUGAACCUAAGCCACAACCCGAGGACCCUCCGAUAUGUUCCAGAGGAAUCCAAAGACAAAGUUAUCUCAGAUGAAGAUGUCCUAGGAACAUUACUGAAAGUUUUCCAGGCUCUAUUCUUAAAUGAUUUCAAUAAACAAUCAGAAAUCUUGACUAUGCUUCCAGAAUCUGUUAAAUCAAAAUAUCAAGACCUACUGGCAGUUGAACAUCAAGGGGUGAAACUGCUUGAAAACAGACAUCAACAGCAAAGUACCUUUAAACCAGAAGAAAUUCUUUACAAGACUUUGGGUUUCAGUGUUGCCCAAGCAACUAGCUCAUUGAUUUCUGCUGGAAAAGGUGUCUUCGUUACUAAAGGAUUGGUACAGUAUAUCAGAAGUAUGAGCCGAUCUUUUUCCAGUCCAUUGGAAAUCCGUUUAUUUUUAGAUGCCUGGAUGGGGUACUCAUUGAUGGGAAUGACAAAGGGAU
This 560-nucleotide small RNA is filed under the name Pan troglodytes (chimpanzee). Its description in RNAcentral is "processed transcript". The record is from RNAcentral. Lineage: Eukaryota; Metazoa; Chordata; Mammalia; Primates; Hominidae.